AUAAAGCAAAGGAUUGAUUAAAAAUAGAUAAUAUAUUUAGCUAAAUAGCUUUAGAGUUAACUGACGAACCCACUGAAAUUGCAGAACCUAAGAAAUAAAAGCCAAAAAAAAUUAACCAAAAAAUUGUGAAGAAACAAGCCUAAAAACAUAGUCUCGAAUGGUCAUCUACAUCAAUAGCGUCUUCGAUAUCUUCAUCACCACCGUCAUCGUUAUGUAAACCUAUGAAAAUAAAUAAUGAAACUGAAAAAAACGAAUUAAUGACAGUACUAACUACAUAGUUGGCUCAAAAAAAAGGAAAAAAUUAGUCCAUAAUCUACACCAUACCACCUUGAUCAUCUUCAUCAUCACCAUCAAAUAAACGUAGAAAAAUAAGAAAAAUCAACUCGAAUUUGAAGGACAUAAAUAUGCGUAUGGAAAUAGCACAUGAAGACAGUACAUUAGCAACAAUUGCUGAUAAUCCCUUUUCAUCAUCAUCAUAAAUCUGAAACAGAAGCUGAAAUGAAUAUAUUAGCAGCUAGAUCAUCAUCAACAAAAAAUACUGUAUCCAGUGAUUCUUUGCUGGAAUGUAUCAAACAUAAUUAUAACAGUCUAUCAAAACAAUUAGCGAAUUUAAAAGGCCAUAUCUGCUGACGUUACCAAAUCCUAUCUGAAAUAAAAAAAAUAACAGUACUCAGCUGUUAGAUUUCAGUUUAUUAACAGAUCCUGAAGGAAAUCCAGUGGUCCAAAAAUUAGAAUUUCCGCUAUCAACAAUGGAAGAUAUUAUUUUGAUAAAUUCAAUGAAAAAUUAAAAGGCGAAAAAUAUAAAAAUAAAAUGAAUAAACGUAUAUACUUUUCUCUUGAUGGAAAAAAUACUUUUACCCGUAAUAUGGGAAAUAUUACUCGUGUUUAUAUAACAAGAGAUGUCAUAUGUAGCAGUUAAAGCAACUUCAAAAAAAAGUUUUCAAAGAUACGACUUUUUCACUUCUAUAAAAAGUAUGUUAAUCAUUAUAUAGUGCAGAAUUACUAUCACUGAUACCUAAUUAAUUAUUUCUUAAUUAUAUGUUAAUAUUUUAUACCUAAUAAUAAUUAUUUUUUACUAUUACUAAUUUAAUUACGUACAUGAUUAAUUUAAAUUUUGUAUUUAAGCUGCAGUAAGACAGAAAUUCGAAAAUAAUCAAGAAAGUAUUUUCGAUAAUAAAUUCCAUCAAGCAUUGUCUGCAGUAUUGAAUAAUGCUAAUAUAAUAAUAAAGAUUGGGAUGGGUACAGGGUAUCCAGGAUCAAAAAACUACCAAUCUAAUGAAGAUAAAUAAAAACAACUAAUCGCU
Long non-coding RNA from Melitaea cinxia (Glanville fritillary), 1304 nucleotides. RefSeq lists it as uncharacterized. NCBI's taxonomy places the organism in Eukaryota, Metazoa, Arthropoda, Insecta, Lepidoptera, Nymphalidae. The record is from RefSeq and is a predicted model, not a curated record. The transcript has 4 exons.